UACGUAGGUGACAAGCGUUGUCCGGAUUUACUGGGCGUAAAGAGCGCGCAGGCGGUCGAUCAAGUCGAGUGUGAAAGCCCCCGGCUCAACUGGGGAGGGUCAUUCGAUACUGAUCGACUCGAAGGCAGGAGAGGGUAGUGGAAUUCCCGGUGUAGUGGUGAAAUGCGUAGAUAUCUGGAGGAACACCGGUGGCGAAGGCGGCAUCCUGGACCAACACUGACGCUGAUGAGCGAAAGCCAGGGGAGCAAACGGG
RNAcentral lists this ribosomal RNA (253 nucleotides) under uncultured bacterium. RNAcentral describes it as "partial 16S ribosomal RNA". It matches the Rfam family "Bacterial small subunit ribosomal RNA", at positions 524 to 776 of the family's 1533-position model. The record is from RNAcentral.